GGAUUUUCAUCCCCGGUCAGCCAGUAAACUCUCACUCCUGUCUUUGCUUCUUUUAGCAGAUAAACGAAGAGCACAGGAAGAUGUCUGACGCAAUGCUUCAACUGAACACCUAAAUCAAAGCCAAAGCCCAAGAUCACGUCAGCUCGUCGGCUGGGCUUGAAGAGGUGACCGACUGGUGUAAGAAUGUGGAGGCCAUCUCUGGAAUGGAGGGCCGGAAGAAGCUGUUUGAUGCUGGACAAUAAGAGUUGGGAGCAACACCAAAUCAGAGAUGGCCUCAAAUGUUUCAUACAGUAAUGCUGUAAUAUUUCAUUUUAAGGCAAACGGAUCAUUGCUAACAUCAUUUAUCAUCAUCUUAAAAAAUAACUUAAAAAAUAAACAUAUAGAAUUAGUCCACACCAAUGCAUGAUGAUGUUCUGUUUAUUAUAAGUCUGUACUUAAAGGAUU
Molecule: non-coding RNA, 444 nt
Organism: Danio rerio (zebrafish)
Lineage: Eukaryota; Metazoa; Chordata; Actinopteri; Cypriniformes; Danionidae
Source: RefSeq, a predicted model, not a curated record